Molecule: long non-coding RNA, 421 nt
Filed under: Olea europaea (common olive)
Lineage: Eukaryota; Viridiplantae; Streptophyta; Magnoliopsida; Lamiales; Oleaceae
Description: long non-coding RNA (OEUR_LNC007736)
Source: RNAcentral
AUUCAAAUUUUCGACUUCUCCACGUAACGAGGCAUUUGCAUCUUGCAGCGAGCGGACCCUUCUGGCCUGUCUAAUGACUUCGUUCUCCUGAAAAAUAACACCUUGCAAUUCCUAAGUCAACAAAACAAGUUAGGUUAAGUCAAUUGGGUUAUCCAUAAUGAAGUGUGCAAAAACAUUAAGCCUAGAAAAUCUGAGCCAUGUCUUCACUUGACCAAGUUGCUCAUAACGUGUCUGGUCUUCAGGAAAUAGAAGACCUUUACCAAGUGCCACCACCCCUAGGUUAGAGAACGCAGAUCAAUUGAAAGGAAAAGUAAGCACGAUCGAAACAUCAUCUACCAAUGAUAGCCUUGGAUGACCGCCGAGGAGGAAGUAUCAGGCAGCUCGGUCUGACUAAAAAAAUCCUUAGAUGGGACUAGAGUGU